Molecule: ribosomal RNA, 301 nt
Filed under: uncultured bacterium
Lineage: Bacteria
Description: partial 16S ribosomal RNA
Rfam family: Bacterial small subunit ribosomal RNA
Source: RNAcentral
CAGUAGCCGCGGUAAUACGUAGGUGGCAAGCGUUGUCCGGAAUUAUUGGGCGUAAAGGGCUCGCAGGCGGUUUCUUAAGUCUGAUGUGAAAGCCCCCCGCUCAACCGGGGAGGGUCAUUGGAAACUGGGAAACUUGAGUGCAGAAGAGGAGAGUGGAAUUCCACGUGUAGCGGUGAAAUGCGUAGAGAUGUGGAGGAACACCAGUGGCGAAGGCGACUCUCUGGUCUGUAACUGACGCUGAGGAGCGAAAGCGUGGGGAGCGAACAGGAUUAGAUACCCCAGUAGUCCCUGUCUCUUAUAC